AGUCACCUACGGGGCGCAGCAGUGGGGAAUAUUGCACAAUGGGCGAAAGCCUGAUGCAGCAACGCCGCGUGAGCGAUGAAGGCCUUCGGGUCGUAAAGCUCUGUCCUCAAGGAAGAUAAUGACGGUACUCGAGGAGGAAGCCCCGGCUAACUACGUGCCAGCAGCCGCGGUAAUACGUAGGGGGCUAGCGUUAUCCGGAAUUACUGGGCGUAAAGGGUGCGUAGAUGGUUUCUUAAGU
This 238-nucleotide ribosomal RNA is filed under the name uncultured bacterium. RNAcentral's name for it is "partial 16S ribosomal RNA". It matches the Rfam family "Bacterial small subunit ribosomal RNA", at positions 333 to 588 of the family's 1533-position model. The record is from RNAcentral.